UAAUACGGAGGGUGCAAGCGUUGUCCGGAUUUACUGGGUGUAAAGGGCGUGUAGGCGGGAGAAUAUGUCGGAAGUGAAAUCGUACGGCUUAACCGUAGCAAUGGCUUCCGAAACUGUUCUUCUUGAAUGCAGGAGAGGCAGAUGGAAUUCCUGGUGUAGCGGUGGAAUGCGUAGAUAUCAGGAAGAACACCGGUGGCGAAGGCGGUCUGCUGGCCUGUGAUUGACGCUGAGGCGCGAAAGUGUGGGGAGCAAACAGGAUUAGAUACCCUGGUAGUCCACACCGUAAACGAUGGUCACUAGUUGUCGGAGGAUUCGACCCCUUCGGUAACGACGCUAACGCAUUAAGUGACCCACCUGGGGAGUACGCUCGCAAGGGUGAAACUUAAAUGAAUUGACGG
RNAcentral lists this ribosomal RNA (398 nucleotides) under uncultured bacterium. RNAcentral's name for it is "bacterial SSU rRNA". It matches the Rfam family "Bacterial small subunit ribosomal RNA", at positions 521 to 916 of the family's 1533-position model. The record is from RNAcentral.